CUUUAGUUAGCUUAAUUUAAAAGUUUUGAAUUCUUACUUCAAGGAUGUUUUUUAACACUGAGGA
This 64-nucleotide transfer RNA is filed under the name Orientocreadium sp. HS. RNAcentral's name for it is "tRNA-Lys". Lineage: Eukaryota; Metazoa; Platyhelminthes; Trematoda; Plagiorchiida; Orientocreadiidae. The record is from RNAcentral.